Molecule: small RNA, 160 nt
Filed under: Streptococcus porcinus str. Jelinkova 176
Lineage: Bacteria; Bacillati; Bacillota; Bacilli; Lactobacillales; Streptococcaceae
Description: Streptococcus sRNA sagA
Rfam family: Streptococcus sRNA sagA
Source: Rfam by way of RNAcentral
CGACUACGUUACUAUUAGUAAUAACUCUGUUGAUUGUGAUUUGCCAUAGAGAUGUGAGGACAUAUGAGGCAAGAUAAUCAUUUUGGUUAUGGUGUCUCUAGGUAGUUAGCAGGUACUGAACAGUACCUGCUGAUUACCAAUGUUUUAUAGAAUGAGAUAG